GACGAACGCUGGCGGCGUGCUUAACACAUGCAAGUCGUACGGUAAGGCCCUUUCGGGGGUACACGAGUGGCGAACGGGUGAGUAACACGUGAGUAACCUGCCCACAACUUUGGGAUAACGCUAGGAAACUGGUGCUAAUACUGGAUAUGUGCUCCUGCUGCAUGGUGGGGGUUGGAAAGCUCCGGCGGUUGUGGAUGGACUCGCGGCCUAUCAGCUUGUUGGUGGGGUGGUGGCCUACCAAGGCGGCGACGGGUAGCCGGCCUGAGAGGGUGACCGGCCACAGUGGGACUGAGAUACGGCCCAGACUCCGACGGGAGGCAGAAGUGGGGAAUAUUGCACAAUGGGCGCAAGCCUGAUGCAGCAACGCCGCGGGCGGGAUGACGGCCUUCGGGUUGGAAACCGAUUUCAGCAGGGACGAAGCUUUUUGUGACGGUACCUGCAGAAGAAGCACCGGCUAACUACGUG
This 465-nucleotide ribosomal RNA is filed under the name uncultured bacterium. RNAcentral's name for it is "partial 16S ribosomal RNA". It matches the Rfam family "Bacterial small subunit ribosomal RNA", at positions 28 to 507 of the family's 1533-position model. The record is from RNAcentral.